AGCAUGUGGUUUAAUCGAAGCAACGCGAAGAACCUUACCAGGCCUUGACAUGCAGAGAACUUUCCAGAGAUGGAUUGGUGCCUUCGGGAACUCUGACACAGGUGCUGCAUGGCUGUCGUCAGCUCGUGUCGUGAGAUGUUGGGUUAAGUCCCGUAACGAGCGCAACCCUUGUCCUUAGUUACCAGCACGUUAUGGUGGGCACUCUAAGGAGACUGCCGGUGACAAACCGGAGGAAGGUGGAGAUGACGUCAAGUCAUCAUGGCCCUUACGGCCUGGGCUACACACGUGCUACAAUGGUCGGUACAAAGGGUUGCCAAGCCGCGAGGUGGAGCUAAUCCCAUAAAACCGAUCGUAGUCCGGAUCGCAGUCUGCGACUCGACUGCGUGAAGUCGGAAUCGCUAGUAAUCGUGAAUCAGAAUGUCACGGUGAAUACGUUCCCGGGCCUU
RNAcentral lists this ribosomal RNA (446 nucleotides) under uncultured Pseudomonas sp. RNAcentral's name for it is "bacterial SSU rRNA". It matches the Rfam family "Bacterial small subunit ribosomal RNA", at positions 936 to 1382 of the family's 1533-position model. Lineage: Bacteria; Pseudomonadati; Pseudomonadota; Gammaproteobacteria; Pseudomonadales; Pseudomonadaceae. The record is from RNAcentral.